Molecule: long non-coding RNA, 5780 nt
Filed under: Marmota monax (woodchuck)
Lineage: Eukaryota; Metazoa; Chordata; Mammalia; Rodentia; Sciuridae
Source: RNAcentral
UGAAAUUGAACUGUUCUGUUAGGAGAAAACUUCUUGGGCAAUCACAGCCACAAAGUCAAACAUAAAACUAGGGACUUUCCAAAAAAGGCAGUUGUGUUAGUGCAGCCAGACAGGUAGUGUCUUCAUUUCACUUUCGCAUUUACCCUGAUGUGAAAGGGUCCUCUGUCUCCACACUUCCUCUUGGCCAUUCCUCGCUGGAACACUCCGCUGUGUUGAACUUGGUAUUUCACAGUUCAUGAGUUGCUUCUUACUUAGGUGAACUUUUUAAAGAUUUGGUCUUAUUUUGAACUGAUAUCUUUAUCAAUUCAUAUUUUUGCAAGUGCACCAAAGGCCAGGCAUAUCUGCAGGCGCCUGACACACAGCCAACACCUCAGGAUGACUAUGGUAAGUGCCUCUUGAAUUUUAAGGGGAAAUCCACACUGAGUCCACUGCCCAUUGGAAGGGCUCGGUCCAGGUUACUGGUGUCAGAAAGACUGAGCACCAGCCUCAAUUUUGAAAGCUUGUGCACGCAUUCUAAUCGUACAAAACUGACAGACACCAUGGCACACGUCUGUAAUCCCAGCAGCUCGGGAGGCUGAGACAGGAGGGUCGUGGGUUUAAAGCCAGCCUCAGCAAAAGUGAGAUACUACGCAACUCAAUGAGACCUUGUCUCUAAAUAAAAUAUAAAAUAGGGCUGUGGCUAUUGUGGCUCAGUCGUCGAAUGCCCCUGAGUUCAAUCCCCAGUAUACCCCUAAAAAAAAAAAAAAAAAAACCUGCUCUUACAAAACUCAGUUUUCUGUGGGAGACAGUGAGUUCUUGGCAGAGUAUGUGUCUCCCUCUGUGUCCACAGGGCUUGGUUAUAGGUUUGGGCUGUCGGGUGGGGAGUAUGAGAGUGACCUGUGAAAGGACCUGGGUCCUUAUUCUAGAAGGUGUGUCUAUAUGUGGGCCCCUGAUGUCCCUGUUACUUCAGUCUCUCCACCUGCACAGCUCCCACGUCCUCUCCCAUCUACUGGAGCUCUCCUCCCCACCCCCAGCCUCUUCUCCACAUUGUCCUCCUGCCCCCUCACCGGAGCUUUCCCGCCAGCAUACAGGUACGCUGUGCUUCUCCAUCUCAAAAAGCCAGCAAACCACAGACUCUAUCCCCUCUGUCAUUUACCAUCCUUUUUUUCUAAAUCCUCUUUGAAGAAGAAAAGAAAUGUUCAAAAAGAACUGUCUACCCAGUUCUCUCCUCUCCUAUCUCAUCUUGAUCCUGAUUGUUGGGCAGAGGGUGAGACUCAGGCCAGGAAGCAGGUUUGGGGCUCUGGCAGUUGAAUGAGGAUCCAAGGCAUGGUGGCAAUGGUGGUCAUCAUUUAUUUGUAGGCAGCCCCCAUCCAGCUCCCUGACCAUUUCCAUAGACCCUUUAUAUAUUAUAUACAGUCCAGAGAACAUGCACUGCCGACAGGUUCCAUUAGGGGGCGCCUGCUCACAAGUAAAUGUUUAUGACCUUGACUGCGCACUGACCUUAACAGCCCAUUCCUGACCUUGGCUACAUACUGAAAGCAAAACAUAGCCCCUGGAAGCCCUGGCCAGGGAGCCUCACACUAGCCUUUGGGGACCAAAUCAGACUUCAUCACUUCUUCCCCAACACCUGCUCUGCUCCAGGUCCCAGUCACCCCUUCUCUUGAGGACCUCAUGUGGCUUCCCCACCCACCCUGGCCCCUGCUCUCUGCUCCAUCUUUUCUGGCCCUCCUCUCCAGUCCCUGGGCUCCACUGGGUCCUCUCCUUUUUUCUCUCUACUCACUACCUCGUCCCUCCCAUCCAGUGUGGGGACUUGAAUAAUCUUCCUGUGACAAUGACACCCCAAUGCACGGCUUCAGCUGAAUCCUCCCCACACUCCAAUCUGACUCAACUCCUCUGCCCAGAAUCCCCCUGUGCACAUCUGAUCUCCAGGGUUCACUUCCCAAACCUUCUCUACUUAGUUUCCCUCAAACCAAUCAAAGGCAAUGCCAUGCCGUGGGUUGCUGGGGGCAAGGCAUGCAAUCUUGACACCUCCCUCCCUCCCUAUGUUUCUCUCUCUCUCUCUCUCUCUCUCUCUCUCUCUCACACACACACACACACACACACACACACACACACAAACUCAGGGAAUCUUGUUGGUGCAUCUAUCAAAAUCUAUCAAAAUGCACCCAGAAUCCAGCCGUUUCCCCACACACACACUUUCUUUUUUUUUAUUAGUUGUUCAAAACAUUACAAAGCUCUUGACAUAUCAUAUUUCAUACAUUUGAUUCAAGUGGGUUAUGAACUCCCAUUUUCCCCCGUAUACAGAUUGCAGAAUCACAUCAGUUACACAUCCACGUCAUGGUCAUGCUGGCCAAUGCUCUGACAAGUCUCAUGUCACUCACUGAAACAGUCUUGCCUGCUCCUCCCUCUGUCCUGGCCUCCUCUCAGCACCCACCAGGAACACUUGGACACACAAGAUCAUGACAGCUCUCCGCUCAGAACCUUCCACUGUGCUAAUUUCCUCAGAAAACACAGCCAACCUCCUCACCAAAUCUGAAGACUCUGGCCACCCAGAGCCCUCCAGCCCUGGACACCACUGCCAUCCUCUGGCUUGAUCCACUUAUGCAGCUUUCACCCCCUGAGGUUUCUCAACAUACGGGGCAUCUUUCCAUCUCCAGGCCUGGAAUGUUCCCUGUGACCGGCAGGCUCUUCCCCCAGGUCCACCACGUCUGCCUCCCGCCCUCCUCCACGUCAUUCCUGAGUACUUGCCUUCUCAGCAAGGACACCUGAAAACUCUGACAACUGUGCCUAAAAUCCCCAGCAUCUACCAAGCACCCUGCUUUCCUCUGUUUUUUGUUUGUUUGUUUGUUGUGGUGUUUUUUUUUUUCUUACUCAGCUUUAAGUGUCUUCUCACACCCAACCCCGUGGACUUACAUCCUGCUCACCUCCUGCCUCCUCUCACUAGGACUGACUUCCUCAGGGCAGAGGUGUCUUCUGUUUCCUGCGCCGGCCUAGCUCAGAUUCCUAGGGCCAGGCCUGGCACAGGUUUGCUGCCUCCUACUCCACCUCAUCAAAUGGUUGAAUGCUCCUGCCAACUCCAGUGUGUCCCUAGUACAGGGAGGACAUUAGCUACAAUUCAUAUUCAACCAGAAGGUCGCCUGGGGACAGUCUCCCUCCAAUAUUCCUCAGAAACUCCUCCACAGAGAACAAACCAAGUCCCUGUCAUUUCUCAGGAAUGACAGCCUGGAGCUCCUCCCAUUCCAGAAACAGUCCAUGGCUCCCAGGUCAAAGUCUAAACACCCACCAGGGGCCUGGCUCUGUCCCACUGAGACCCACAGCCUCCUCCUUUACACUCUCCCGCUCACCCUGACUUCAGUGACUCCCAUUUCCAGAGAGAGCGGGGCACGGGGACUACUGGGACUUCCCGCUGGGAAGGGACCCACCAGGGUUGCCCCGCUGCCCAGGGGGAGAAAUGCUGCAGCCAGCGCUAGUUGAGGAGAAGAAAGCGGGGGAGGCUGGGGACAGGCAAAGUCCCUGCAUGGGUCAGUGUCACGAGGCACAGAGCAGGAAGUUUGGAAUCAGAAAAUGUGGCUUCUAACGCCACUUCUGCCCAUGCCUGAUCUUAGAAAGAGAGCACUCCCCAGCCCCACCUUUCACCAGGUCGUCCCCUCUGAGCACAGGGUGCACUGCAGGACAGCUUUGCCCAGGGACACCCAAGGAUGGGGGCUCUGGGACUGUGGGUCAGGCAUGGAUCAUUUCCCAUCAAAUAAGAAAGCUCAAAGGGCGUGAGGGACCCCAUUCCCAAGGAAGCCUUUACGAAUAGAAGAAUUUCGUUUAAAAACUAUUUGUAAAACACCUGCAUCAUUGACAAGGGUCCUUCCUUCUGCUGUGAACCUUCUUGCUUGAUUUAGCCGCCUUCGCCUGCCUUUCCCAGCGCCCUGAGGUUUCUUUCCCUCCCUCUCCUUUAUCCCCCUUUCUGUCAACUCUGAGUUACAAUGAUCCACAUCUGUGCCUGUCUCCCUCAUAGACUGGCCUCCUGGGUGCUCUUCCUGCCCAUCUGUACCCCACAGAUGCCUCUAUUGCUCCAGCUCUGCCUGCUGGACACUCCUGAGCUCCUGGCUGUUGGCAAUGCCAUUGGGUGUAAUUGCCAUCGGGGACGCUGGACUGGCACCUGCCCUGGGCCACACAGUGCUUCUCUCCUACUUAUUACCUCAUAUAAGGGGAACCCAAAUGACAAUUGGGACCAUUCCUUGGCCUCUCGGAGGAAAAUGGAUUCCAAUCAAACUCUCUUCCCAGGGCUGUGGGGGACCCCGAGCUCCUGGGCUCCCGGGAAGCAAAGGCAGAGGGCUUCUAUUUCCCUGGCUCCUCCUGAUGCUGCUCAGUGACUUCAGAUGGGGAUCACUUCACUGGCUCUUUUCCAAAGGCAGAGUGGUGGCCCUAAUCCCUUCCCCAACAAAAUGCCACUGUCACCCACCUAGAGGGCUGUCUCAGAAGCCCACUUUCCCUGAAGGUUCAGAGUGAGGGGAGGUUGCCAUCAGAGGCAGAAUCUGCCCAGUCCUGAACACCAGCCGCCCCUGCUCUGGGCCCUCAGUCCCCCCAGCAGCCUGUUUCUGCAGCUCCGCCCCCCCACGCUGCUGGGUGCCACCUCUGCUCUCGCCAUCUCAAUGUCCUCGCUGUCACUGGUCCAAACCCUCAGGGCCCUGUUCACUGCCCACACAGGACAGUCUAGCUGGUCACUGUCUUGCUCCCGGAGACCUCCCCCGUCACCUGAAGCCACCGUCCAGGUGUUGGCCCAGCAGCCACAAUCCAUUCCUUGCAGUAGCCCCAGCCUUGAGGGGUCAAAGAGCAACUCUUUCACCCCCUUGGCCUCACAAAGCCCCGGAGACAUUCUCCCCUGAGCCUGGGAGGGGACCGGGAUUUCACAGGAGCCAGGGGUGGUCCAUCAUGAGACCCGACUCCAGCUGAGACGUGUGGGUCCCAGAGUUGGCCUCACGGCCUCUCCUCCCGUCUGCUUCCAGCUCUCUGGGAUGAUCAUUUGUGGAGGGAUGCUCGCCAUCUGUGCUGUUAUCACAGUCUUUGCGACCAUAAAUGCUUCCAUUCAGGUGAGUUGUGGCCCUCCUGAGUGGGUGGAGAGACCCCAGCUAGGUGAACUCUAGAGGGCCUUCAGUGCCUCACUCCCUGCCCAGGGGCUGGAGGGCUCUGGUGGCCCAAGGGCCGAGCACCUGCCUGUCUCCUUUCAUCUCAUUGUGUUUUUCAGGUGAAGGUGGAUGUCAACAAUUACUUUGGAGGAGGCAGGUCCUACUCCAAGCCCCCUAGUCGCAAGAAGUGAGAUCCAGCAUGCAGAUCAAAGGACCACCCCCCUUCUCUGCUUUCAUAAUCUGAUUCCUUCCUUUCCAGACAAGCUGAGGGCUUGUCUGCUCACACCCUGCACUGCACCCUUCAAUUCAGCCUGCUGCAUCCUGCUCUUCUUCUGAGAGGCAGAGGGGUUUUCCGUGUAUUUUAGCCCCAGGCUCCUCCCUGAGGCGCGUGCUCCUGUGUGCUUGUGUGUGGACAUCCUCUCACAGGCUUCUCGCAAACCACCACCUGCACUCCUCUGCCUUGGGUUUAUAGGUGAGGAGGAAAAUAUCCAGGCACCCAUCUUCUUCUUUCAAUCAUCCAUUCAUUAAUAAAUUUGGAUUGAGCAUCUGUCCGUUUGAAUGUUGUUCUGGCAUCAGUGGUAACAGCAUAGGGAGAACUGAUUUCAGACUAUUCAAGGUCGAUUCAUGGCAGGAAGUGGGUAAACAUCAUGACCAACAUGGUCCUUGACCUCAAGGGACCUCUGG